RNAcentral lists this long non-coding RNA (483 nucleotides) under Struthio camelus australis. RNAcentral's name for it is "lncRNA (ENSSCUG00000016761.1)". Lineage: Eukaryota; Metazoa; Chordata; Aves; Struthioniformes; Struthionidae. The record is from RNAcentral.
AACAAAGCAAGCGUUAGGGGGGUGGCCAGACACGGUCUUGAAGGCCAGCGGUCCGUAGUUGGCAUGAGCGAUAGAUAGUUGGUGCUGCCUUGUGUGCGCUUGUUAUUCUUGAAGCUCACAGUGACGUGACAACAAUAGACAAGAGAGUGUGUGACUCCGUUAUUUUUGAUCUUGACUGUCCCCGGUUGGACCAGCUCUCUCAGAUCACUUGGUACAAGGGAAAUAUGUCCUUAAAGCACUGGACACGUGGCGACACAGUGGUCAGCCAACGGAUUCACGUCUUUCCUAAUGGGGCGUUAGGGAUUCGCAGUGUAGGGAUUUUUUUUGGUGUGCAACAGCUCUGAGCACCUCCUUUACCAAAGAAUAUUUCAGCUACGUGUACACGGUAGGUAUAAAUUCUCACUUGAAAGUUCAUGUCUUAGUGUGUUGGGCUGCCUGGAUCAGGCCUUUGUUUCUGUUACUAUGCAUAGAUUAUAUAUUCGU